UUGGGCGUAAAGCGUCCGCAGGUGGCAGUGUAAGUCUGCUGUCAAAGGUCAGGGCUCAACCCUGAACAGGCAGUGGAAACUACACAGCUAGAGUGCGGUGGGGGCAGAGGGAAUUCCCAGUGUAGCGGUGAAAUGCGUAGAGAUUGGGAAGAACACCGGUGGCGAAACGCUCUGCUAGGCCGUAACUUACACUCAUGGACGAAAGCUAGGGGAGCGAAUGGGAUUAGAUACCCCAGUAGUCCUAGCCGUAAACGAUGUUCACUAGGUGUUGGGGGGUCUCCCUCGGUGCCGCAGCUAACGCAUUAAGUGAACCGCCUGGGGACUACGGCCGCAAGGUUGAAACUCAAAGGAAUUGGCGGGGGCCCGCACAAGCGGUGGAGCAUAUGGCUUAAUUCGAUGCAACGCGAAGAACCUUACCAGGGCUUGACAUGGAUCUGCAAGCCGCCGAAAAGCGGUCGCUUUCGAAGGUGAUUCACAGGUGGUGCAUGGCUGUCGUCAGCUCGUGUUGUGAAAUGUUGGGUUAAGUCCCGCAACGAGCGCAACCCUCAUGUUUUGUUACCAGCGGGUCAUGCCGGGAACUCGAAACAAACUGCCUCUGUAAAGAGGAGGAAGGUGGGGAUGACGUCAAGUCAUCAUGCCCCUUACGCCCUGGGCUGCACAUAUGCUACAAUGGCCGGUACAAAGAGGUGCAAAGCUGCGAAGCCAAGCAAAUCUCAAAAAGCCGGUCUCAGUUCGGAUUGGAGUCUGCAACUCGACUCCAUGAAGCUGGAAUCGCUAG
RNAcentral lists this ribosomal RNA (778 nucleotides) under uncultured cyanobacterium. Its description in RNAcentral is "bacterial SSU rRNA". It matches the Rfam family "Bacterial small subunit ribosomal RNA", at positions 554 to 1338 of the family's 1533-position model. The record is from RNAcentral. Lineage: Bacteria; Bacillati; Cyanobacteriota.